RNAcentral lists this unclassified non-coding RNA (206 nucleotides) under soil metagenome. Its description in RNAcentral is "partial contains 5.8S ribosomal RNA, internal transcribed spacer 2, and large subunit ribosomal RNA". The record is from RNAcentral.
AACAAGGCGUACCUGCGGACCUGCGGAGGGAUCAUUACCGAGUGUGGUCCCAUAUAAGGGGCGCCUCCCGUCCUUUGCAGGGCCCUUAGGGGCUUUUUGACUUUGCUUCGGCGGGCUUGCCCCGCCGGAACACCCUCAAGAAAAUCUUUAUGAACCGUUUGUCUGAGUUGCUUGCGAAUAAAAACAAAACUUUCAACAACGGAUCU